Molecule: long non-coding RNA, 228 nt
Filed under: Lathyrus oleraceus (garden pea)
Lineage: Eukaryota; Viridiplantae; Streptophyta; Magnoliopsida; Fabales; Fabaceae
Description: Pisum sativum (pea) long non-coding RNA (PSAT_LNC030997)
Source: RNAcentral
UUUAGGUCAGCACCAUAUCAAAUGGGAGACAACCCUGCAGGGGAUUAACACAAUAGCUGCUCAAAAUCAGGACUAACUCUGACGACUUGCGGAGAAACGAAAUCUGCUGAAACCAUGAAAACUGCCGAAACAACACACCUACAACUCAAGGGAUGCCAACAAACUCGGCUACUGAAACGCUAUCGGGGAUGAAAUAGGGAUUACGCCCACUGCUUAGGGAGAACCAAU